GAUGAACGCUGGCGGCGUGCUUAACACAUGCAAGUCGAACGUUGAUUCCCAGCUUGUUGGGUGUGCUAGUGGGGCACCCGUGAGUAACCCGCGAGAAACAUGCCCUUAAGCCUAGGUUAAACCUGGCAAACCCGGUCUCAUAUCAGAUAGAUGAGUCCCCCGUCGGGUGGGUGUUGGGAACAUUUACCGGUUUUGGGUGGACUCGCGUCGUAUCAGCUUGUUGGUGUGGUGUUGGCUCCUCAAGGCGGCGACGGGUAGCCGGCCUGAGAGGGUGACCGGCCACACGGGGACUGAGACACGGCACAGACUCCUACGGGAGGCAGCAGUGGGGAAUAUUGCACAAUGGGCGGAAGCCUGAUGCAGCGACGCCGCGUGAGGGAUGACGGCCUUCGGGUUGUAAACCUCUUUCAGCAGGGAAGAAGCGAAAGUGACGGUACCUGGAGAAGAGGCACGGGCUAACUACGUG
RNAcentral lists this ribosomal RNA (466 nucleotides) under uncultured bacterium. RNAcentral describes it as "partial 16S ribosomal RNA". It matches the Rfam family "Bacterial small subunit ribosomal RNA", at positions 28 to 507 of the family's 1533-position model. The record is from RNAcentral.